GAUGAACGCUGGCGGCGUGCCUAAUACAUGCAAGUCGAGCGAAUGGAUUAAGAGCUUGCUCUUAUGAAGUUAGCGGCGGACGGGUGAGUAACACGUGGGUAACCUGCCCAUAAGACUGGGAUAACUCCGGGAGACCGGGGCUAAUACCGGAUAACAUUUUGAACCGCAUGGUUCGAAAUUGAAAGGCGGCUUCGGCUGUCACUUAUGGAUGGACCCGCGUCGCAUUAGCUAGGUGGUGAGGGAACGGCUCACCAAGGCGACGAUGCGUAGCCGAACUGAGAGGGUGAUCGGCAACACUGGGACUGAGACACGGCCCAGACUCCUACGGGAGGCAGCAGUAGGGAAUCUUCCGCAAUGGACGAAAGUCUGACGGAGCAACGCCGCGUGAGUGAUGAAGGCUUUCGGGUCGUAAAACUCUGAUGCUAGGGAAGAACAAGUGCUAGUUGAAUAAGCUGGCACCUUGACGGUACCUAACCAGAAAGCCACGGCUAACUACGUGCCAGCCGCCGCCGUAA
This 515-nucleotide ribosomal RNA is filed under the name uncultured bacterium. Its description in RNAcentral is "partial 16S ribosomal RNA". It matches the Rfam family "Bacterial small subunit ribosomal RNA", at positions 28 to 523 of the family's 1533-position model. The record is from RNAcentral.